This 71-nucleotide transfer RNA is filed under the name Leptobrachella oshanensis (Oshan metacarpal-tubercled toad). RNAcentral describes it as "tRNA-Thr". It matches the Rfam family "tRNA". Rfam says of the family: Transfer RNA (tRNA) molecules are approximately 80 nucleotides in length. Lineage: Eukaryota; Metazoa; Chordata; Amphibia; Anura; Megophryidae. The record is from RNAcentral.
GUCACCGUAGCUUAAAACAAAGCACUAGUCUUGUAAACUAGAGAGUGAAGAAUAAACCUCUUCCUGCGACA